AGUCGAGCGGAUGAGAAGAGCUUGCUCUUCGAUUCAGCGGCGGACGGGUGAGUAAUGCCUAGGAAUCUGCCUGGUAGUGGGGGACAACGUUUCGAAAGGAACGCUAAUACCGCAUACGUCCUACGGGAGAAAGCAGGGGACCUUCGGGCCUUGCGCUAUCAGAUGAGCCUAGGUCGGAUUAGCUAGUUGGUGAGGUAAUGGCUCACCAAGGCGACGAUCCGUAACUGGUCUGAGAGGAUGAUCAGUCACACUGGAACUGAGACACGGUCCAGACUCCUACGGGAGGCAGCAGUGGGGAAUAUUGGACAAUGGGCGAAAGCCUGAUCCAGCCAUGCCGCGUGUGUGAAGAAGGUCUUCGGAUUGUAAAGCACUUUAAGUUGGGAGGAAGGGCAUUAACCUAAUACGUUAGUGUUUUGACGUUACGGACAGAAUAAGCACCGGCUAACUCUGUGCCAGCAGCCGCGGUAAUACAGAGGGUGCAAGCGUUAAUCGGAAUUACUGGGCGUAAAGCGCGCGUAGGUGGUUUGUUAAGUUGAAUGUGAAAGCCCCGGGCUCAACCUGGGAACUGCAUCCAAAACUGGCAAGCUAGAGUACGGUAGAGGGUGGUGGAAUUUCCUGUGUAGCGGUGAAAUGCGUAGAUAUAGGAAGGAACACCAGUGGCGAAGGCGACCACCUGGACUGAUACUGACACUGAGGUGCGAAAGCGUGGGGAGCAAACAGGAUUAG
RNAcentral lists this ribosomal RNA (726 nucleotides) under uncultured Pseudomonadales bacterium. RNAcentral describes it as "bacterial SSU rRNA". It matches the Rfam family "Bacterial small subunit ribosomal RNA", at positions 60 to 781 of the family's 1533-position model. The record is from RNAcentral. Lineage: Bacteria; Pseudomonadati; Pseudomonadota; Gammaproteobacteria; Pseudomonadales.